This 326-nucleotide unclassified non-coding RNA is filed under the name plant metagenome. Its description in RNAcentral is "partial contains 5.8S ribosomal RNA, internal transcribed spacer 2, and large subunit ribosomal RNA". The record is from RNAcentral.
AAAUUCAUCGCCUUCUGCAUCUCCGGCAUGGUCGCCGGCCUCUCCGGCUAUCUCUGGGUGUCGCGCUACGUCAUCGCCUCGGUCGAGGUCGCCAACGGCUACGAGCUUUCGAUCAUCGCGGCCUGCGUUAUCGGCGGCGUCUCGAUCGCCGGCGGCAUCGGCUCGGUCGCUGGCGCGGUGCUCGGUGCGCUCUUCCUCGGCAUCAUCCAGUCGGCGCUCCCCGUCAUCAACGUCUCGCCCUUCUGGCAGAUGGCGAUCUCCGGCAGCGCCAUCAUUCUCGCCGUCGUGCUCAACGCGCGCGGCGAGCGCAAGCAGGGCCGCAUCAU